Molecule: long non-coding RNA, 560 nt
Organism: Pieris brassicae (large cabbage white)
Lineage: Eukaryota; Metazoa; Arthropoda; Insecta; Lepidoptera; Pieridae
Exons: 4
Source: RefSeq, a predicted model, not a curated record
CCUGGCUCAACGAAUAAGUAUCGCAAUACAGCGAGGAAAUGCUGCCAGCAUUAAAGCCUAAAUCUGGCUUGCGAGCUCUGCUAUUAGAGGCUGAAAGAGGUACUGGGAUAAGCUAAUACUGUCCUAGCCAGUAAAUUUAUCUGGAGAGUCCAGAUGGUCCAAAAAUGUCUGUCUUUAAUUAUAACAAAAGUAACGGUGCACUCCAAUUGCCCGAAGCCCGACAGAACAAGGUAGAAGAUCCUAGUAAAGCAUUGCCAUUCGCGCAGGAGAAGGUGAUCUCACUUCCCAGUGUCUCGCACCGGUAUAUCCCUGAGUCCUCCUUCUCCGCGUUCAUGAUGCUGAAACGGUAUUCCAGCUGACUAUCUCGACCUGGGUCUGUGCUCCAGCCCUCCGUAUAUUUCCUCUCUGAACUAGAAAAUCAUUAAUUUAUUAACGAGCGUAUAACUUUAACUCCCCUAAAUCAUAAGUUAUAUUAUUUUUAUAAUGACCCAUAUAACAACUGUAGAAUUGGUAAUGUAUGGUGUUGUUCAUAAAUAAAAUAAUGUUUUAACAAAUCAUUA